RNAcentral lists this long non-coding RNA (409 nucleotides) under Rattus norvegicus (Norway rat). RNAcentral describes it as "long non-coding RNA NONRATT026921". The record is from RNAcentral. Lineage: Eukaryota; Metazoa; Chordata; Mammalia; Rodentia; Muridae.
UCCAUGUAAUCCUGUGUACAACAUGUAUAUAGCUGCUGUUACAGACCAAGAACUCAUGGAAGGGCCACUCAGGAGGGGAAUAUACAUUUUACAGCAUAUGCAGCCUCGUGCAAGUUUAGAUGAGUGGAUUUGUACAUCUUAUGGCGAGUGGCCACCCCUGAGAUAUUACCUCAUUAUGCAGAAGUAACAUAUCCUUCAUGACUAUUUUGACAAAAGCUUAAAACCACAUCUGAUGGAAGUCCAACUUUCAGGAACCAAGGACUGCCAGAAAAUAUCUGCCUCUACGUUAUGCAUGCAUCUAGACGCUUACCUGAAUUCUGCCUUUUAUAAAGGAACAAACAGUAUGAAGAAGUGAACUGUACAUUUUUAAACUUGAUUGCCAUUAAAGCAGAAGUUACAAGGUUGCAAC